UCGGCGUCGGUUGCCCGGGCGAUGCGCCGCACGCGUGCAGGCCCACACACCCUGAAGGCGGAGCCCGGGUGGAGAGGCUGGUUCCCGGACCACCCAGCUGCCUGGAAGGGUGCGAGGGCGGGCCUACCGGAGCCCACCGAGGGACAGGCGGGAAGAGAAAGCCAACUCCAGAAUGUGGUCUUCUGACGUCUACAAGUGAGGCAUGGAGCAUGAGCACUGACUGCCCCCACACACCAAAACAAUACUUUUAGAAAAUUUAGGAGCGGAAGGGUUAUAGGCAUGUAGGACCAUACAUGGCUUUACAUGGACUAUACUACCUGGCACACGAUGUUUACUGAAUGAAUCCUGAAUGAACGAAUGGCCGCACCAAUAGCCGCAUGAAGAUGGUAUCUCAAGCAGGUUUUUAAAAAGUUAAAUUUAUUUUUAUUUUACUUGCUUUGGUGUUUUGCCUGCAUGUAUGUUUGUGUGAGGGUAUCAGAUCUUGGUGUUACAGACAGCUGUGAGCUGCCAUGUGGUUGCUGGGAAUUGAACCCAGGACCACUGGAAGAGCAGUCCGUGCUCUUAACUGCUGAGCCAUGUCUCUAGCCCCCGAUAUAGGUUUUUCAUUGCCAUUUUGUUCUUGUUUUCUUUUCGAGACAGAGUCUCACAUAGCUCAGUCAUGCCUCACACUUCCUAUAAAUAGCUAGGAUGGCCUUGAACUCCUGAUUCUCCUGCUUCUACCUUCCAUGUGUUAAUGGAAGUGCUUAUACCACCAUGUUGGUUCUGGUACAGUUUUCAAUGGCACCAAGAGGGGCUCCACAGGGAAAAAGGAGAAAGCAGAGGCUCAAAAGGCUUCUGCUCUGGGUUAUUCGAGCCAUCUUGUCAGACUGACACAGACCGAGAUCCCCUGGAACUGCUGGGGUGCUGUAGUAAGCCCCCGAGAGCC
Molecule: long non-coding RNA, 925 nt
Organism: Peromyscus eremicus (cactus mouse)
Lineage: Eukaryota; Metazoa; Chordata; Mammalia; Rodentia; Cricetidae
Exons: 3
Source: RefSeq, a predicted model, not a curated record